UACAGAGGGUGCAAGCGUUAAUCGGAAUAAUUGGGCGUAAAGCGCGCGUAGGUGGUAUGUUAAGUGGUAUGUGAAAGACCGGGGCUUAACCUUGGGGUGUCAUAUCAGACUGGCAUACUAGAGAUCAGUAGAGGAAGGUGGAAUUUCCGGUGUAGCGGUGAAAUGCGUAGAUAUCGGGAGGAACAUCAGUGGCGAAGGCGACCUUCUGGGCUGACACUGACACUGAGGCGCGAAAGCAUGGGGAGCGAAC
This 250-nucleotide ribosomal RNA is filed under the name uncultured bacterium. RNAcentral's name for it is "partial 16S ribosomal RNA". It matches the Rfam family "Bacterial small subunit ribosomal RNA", at positions 524 to 773 of the family's 1533-position model. The record is from RNAcentral.